AUUAUACUCCCUCUAUCCAGAAAUACUUGUCAUGAAAAUGGAUAAAAAAGGGAUGUAUCUAGAACUAAUAUACAUCUAGAUACAUCCCCUUUUAUUCAUUUUGAUGACAAGUAUUUCCGGACAGAGGGAGUAGAUA
Non-coding RNA from Triticum aestivum (bread wheat), 136 nucleotides. NCBI's taxonomy places the organism in Eukaryota, Viridiplantae, Streptophyta, Magnoliopsida, Poales, Poaceae. The record is from Rfam.